CCAGACUCCUACGGGAGGCAGCAGUAGGGGAUAUUGCACAAUGGGGGAAACCCUGAUGCAGCGACGCCGCGUGAGUGAAGAAGUAUCUCGGUACGUAAAGCUCUAUCAGCAGGGAAGAAAAUGACGGUACCUGACCAAGAAGCCCCGGCUAACUACGUGCCAGCAGCCGCGGUAAUACGUAGGGGGCAAGCGUUAUCCGGAUUUACUGGGUGUAAAGGGAGCGUAGACGGCAGUGCAAGUCCGGAGUGAAAGCCCGGGGCUCAACCCUGGGACUGCUCUGGAAACUGUAAAGCUGGAGUGCGGGAGGGGCAGGCGGAAUUCCUGGUGUAGCGGUGAAAUGCGUAGAUAUCAGGAGGAACACCGGUGGCGAAGGCGGCCUGCUGGACUGCAACUGACGUUGAGGCCCGAAAGCGUGGGGAGCAAACAGGAUUAGAUACCCGAGUAAG
RNAcentral lists this ribosomal RNA (446 nucleotides) under uncultured bacterium. Its description in RNAcentral is "bacterial SSU rRNA". It matches the Rfam family "Bacterial small subunit ribosomal RNA", at positions 331 to 793 of the family's 1533-position model. The record is from RNAcentral.